GUGCACACCUUUAGAGCAUGUAAUACUUAUUCUUAAAUUUAGCAAUGCAACCAGAUGGCAAACAUGGUACCCUUUUACAAUUAAACCAUGGGAAUCCACUAUAUGUGAAACAAAUGACUGAUUUAGAAAUGUAUUCAGAUUUAUAUUAUAUGAAAAGCAUUUAAACACAAACCUGUCUUAGAUCUGGCUUAUUGUGUGGGUUUCAGACUGGAAAUUGCUAGAAAUGGUUGAGACCACUGUUUGACAUAUGGACUAAGUCUCCAAGCAAUGGGCUGGUGAACUAAUUUUAAAUGUAAAAAUUAGGUCCCCAAACAAAUGCAAUGUAUGGAAUUUGGAUCCCUGACAAAACAAAGGUUAGCUAACAUAAAAUGCCAUACCCACCCAUCUCUACUUACUCAGACACUGAAUCAAUUUCAUGUUACAUCCCUAGUCACCAAUGCUUAAAGGACCUCUAAAGGCACGUUGAACCAGUUUAUCUCAAUGAAGUGGUCAGGGUGCAGUGUCCCUUUAGUAGAAACUGCAGUGUCUUCAUUGUAGGGUUAAAAACACCUCUAGGAGCUGUUUUGCCUGACAACCACUAGAGAAGUUCUCCCUGUGAGAACAGAGUCAGAUCUGGUUUAUUAUUGCAAUUUAUAUAGAGCCAACAGUUUCCAUAGCGCUUUACAAUAUUAUGAGAGGGAGGAUUUAACUAUAAAUAGGACAAUUACAAGAAAACUUACAGGAACGAUAGGUUGAAGAGGACCGUGCUUAAACUAGCUUGUUCUCAAUCAAAUGCUGCUUCGAGAAAGAAUUUGAUUGGCUUUGGC
This is a non-coding RNA of Pelobates cultripes (western spadefoot toad), 806 nucleotides long. NCBI's taxonomy places the organism in Eukaryota, Metazoa, Chordata, Amphibia, Anura, Pelobatidae. The record is from the annotation of a GenBank genome assembly.